GUUAAAAAGCUCGUAGUUGGAUUUCUGGGAAGGCGCCAAUGCUAGCUUCUUGCUUUCGCAACGGCACCUUUCCAUCCUUCUGUUAGCGCCUCUUGGCAUUCAUUUGCUGGUGGCGGGCUCAGAUAUUUUACCUUGAGAAAAUUAGAGUGUUUCAGGCAGGCUACGCCGGAAUACAUUAGCAUGGAAUAAUGGAAUAGGACUGAGGUCUCUUUGUUGGUUUGAGGGACUCCAGUAAUGAUUAAUAGGGACAGUUGGGGGCAUUAGUAUUUA
Molecule: ribosomal RNA, 270 nt
Filed under: uncultured eukaryote
Lineage: Eukaryota
Description: partial 18S ribosomal RNA
Rfam family: Eukaryotic small subunit ribosomal RNA
Source: RNAcentral